This 403-nucleotide ribosomal RNA is filed under the name uncultured prokaryote. RNAcentral describes it as "bacterial SSU rRNA". It matches the Rfam family "Bacterial small subunit ribosomal RNA", at positions 355 to 776 of the family's 1533-position model. The record is from RNAcentral. RNAcentral also lists the same sequence under 1 other name.
UGGGGAAUAUUGCACAAUGGGCGAAAGCCUGAUGCAGCAACGCCGCGUGAAGGAAGAAGGCCCUUGGGUCGUAAACUUCUGUUCUAAGGGAAGAUAAUGACGGUACCUUAGGAGCAAGUCCCGGCUAACUACGUGCCAGCAGCCGCGGUAAUACGUAGGGGGCGAGCGUUAUCCGGAAUUAUUGGGCGUAAAGAGUACGUAGGUGGUUCUUUAAGCGAGGGGUUUAAGGCAAUAGCUUAACUAUUGUUCGCCCCCCGAACUGGAGGACUUGAGUGCUGGAGAGGAAAGCGGAAUUCCUAGUGUAGCGGUGAAAUGCGUAGAUAUUAGGAGGAACACCAGUGGCGAAGGCGGCUUUCUGGACAGUAACUGACACUGAGGUACGAAAGCGUGGGGAGCAAACAGG